UUCCGGUUGAUCCUGCCGGACCUGACUGCUAUCGGAUUGAUACUAAGCCAUGCGAGUCUUUGCAGUAAUGCAAGGCAUACGGCUCAGUAACACGUAGUCAACUUACCCUAUGGACGAGGAUAAUCUCGGGAAACUGAGCAUAAUACUCGAUAGAUCAUAAUGCCUGGAAUGGUUUAUGGUUAAAAUGAUUCGUCGCCAUAGGAUGGGACUGCGGCCUAUCAGCUUGUUGGUGAGGUAAUGGCCCACCAAGGCGAUUACAGGUACGGGCUCUGAGAGGAGAGGCCCGGAGAUGGGUACUGAGACAAGGACCCAGGCCCUAUGGGGCGCAGCAGGCGAGAAAACUUUGCAAUGUGCGAAAGCACGACAAGGUUAAUCCGAGUGAUUUCUGCUAAAGGAAUCUUUUGUUAGUUCUAAAUCUACUAGUGAAUAAGGGGUGGGCAAGUUCUGGUGUCAGCCGCCGCGGUAAAACCAGCACCUCAAGUGGUCAGGAGGAUUAUUGGGCCUAAAGCAUCCGUAGCCGGCUCUGUAAGUUUUCGGUUAAAUCCAUGUGCUCAACACAUGGGCUGCCGAAAAUACUGCAUAGCUAGGGAGUGGGAGAGGUAGACGGUACUCGGUAGGAAGGGGUAAAAUCCUUUGAUCUAUCGAUGACCACCUGUGGCGAAGGCGGUCUACCAGAACACGUUCGACGGUGAGGGAUGAAAGCUGGGGGAGCAAACCGGAUUAGAUACCCGGGUAGUCCCAGCUGUAAACGAUGCAGACUCGAUGAUGCAUUGGCAUAUAGCCAGUGCAGUGUCGCAGGGAAGCCGUUAAGUCUGCCGCCUGGGAAGUACGUACGCAAGUAUGAAACUUAAAGGAAUUGGCGGGGGAGCACCACAAGGGGUGAAGCCUGCGGUUCAAUUGGAUUCAACGCCGG
This 913-nucleotide ribosomal RNA is filed under the name uncultured marine archaeon. RNAcentral describes it as "bacterial SSU rRNA". It matches the Rfam family "Archaeal small subunit ribosomal RNA", at positions 1 to 921 of the family's 1478-position model. The record is from RNAcentral.